RNAcentral lists this long non-coding RNA (1284 nucleotides) under Struthio camelus australis. RNAcentral's name for it is "lncRNA (ENSSCUG00000016066.1)". Lineage: Eukaryota; Metazoa; Chordata; Aves; Struthioniformes; Struthionidae. The record is from RNAcentral.
AAGGCCCUUCCGCGGCUCCUGCCGCAGCAGUGCGCCACGACCGCUGCGCCGCAGACCCCGGGGGCAGCGCUGUGCUUGUUUGUGCUGACAGCAUCCGGCUGGGCCUGGGCGCACCGCACGAAGAGCCCAACCCGAGCAGGGCUGGGCUCGUUCCCCCUGAGGUCAUCCCUUCCCAAACGUGUUCUGUACGAUCUCGUUCCCACCGUCUCCACCAUAUUUAGUAAAUCACCCUAUGGGGGCAUAGUAACGGCGUAACUGCAUCAGGAAGUUGCCCAAAAUAGGGUUCCUCCCGGCUUCCGCUGCACUGAUCGUUACUGAUGUCACAGCAAGAUGACCAUGGAGCGUUCACUUCUCUGAUGUGGUAGGACGGUUGCUGGCAAAACAGCUCUCAGCUUGUUUGACAAUCGUUUAAAGUCUUAAGAGCUCCAGCCAAGGAAGCUUGGAGGGAAUAUAGAGCGUGACAGGCGUUCAGAAGUUGCUGUGCACUUUGUGCCUACACAAGCACCCGCUUUACAGUGUUCAGAUCCUGGUUUAUAACGAAUGGUCUGGCUGGUCUGACAGAGCAACGUUGGCCAUGACAGUAACUAAUCUUUCUGUCAACAGAUGCAGAGGCCCACUGGAGAGCAUACUUGUGAUUACAGUAAAUUAUAUGUAUCAAGAAGAAAAGGGGACCAAACCUGAGUCCCUCCAGGAGUUUGGGCAGGUAAUGUUAUCCUUUCUUAUUUCACCUCUCAGAAGGGAAGGGAAUCUAGCUCUGCACCUGGAAAAAAAUAAAAGUAUAUGAAGAGUCUGUUCAGAUUCACUGUUUAAUUUUCACAUACAGAACUCACAAGGUAAUACUGAAGUGAGACUUGUUUCCUUCACCAGGGCAAGCUGCGUUCUCACAUCCUUCUGCUACGAAAACCUACCAGCUUCCCAUAUUGCUGUGCUUAAGAAAGCACCUGCUGGUUUUUAUAAUCAGUCACUAAUGAGACUGGGCUCCCCACAGCUCUUCCUAUGGCUGAAAGUUCCAGGUUUGUUGUUGUUUUUAACCAUUCUGCCGUUUGAUACAUAACGUAGUGGUUGGCCUCUUCAGCGUAUUAACAAUUUGGCUGCUUAUGUCUGCUUUACUGUGGCUUGUCCACUAAACUGGGGACAUUUUUUUCAUGUACGCAAAGCUAAAGCUAUUUAGUGACAUCUUGUCAUUGCAGCUUUAGUGCAUGAGAUAAACUCUGAGGCCCAAGGCUGAGUAGUGAAGGAAACUGAAGUUUUCUAGGAAAGAAAGAAGGAUAAUGAGAUUGUCAC